CCUACGGGGGGCUGCAGUGAGGAAUAUUGGUCAAUGGGCGAGAGCCUGAACCAGCCAUCCCGCGUGCAGGAUGACAGUCCUAGUGAUUGUAAACUGCUUUUCUAUAAGAUGAAUAAGGACUACGUGUAGUUCGAUGACCGUAUUAUAGGAAUAAGCAUCGGCUAACUCCGUGCCAGCAGCCGCGGUAAUACGGAGGAUGCAAGCGUUAUCCGGAUUUAUUAGGUUUAAAGGGUGCGUAGGUGGGCGUUUAAGUCAGUGGUUAAAGCCAAUAGCUUAACUAUUGUAUGCCAUUGAAACUGGAUGUCUUGAAUAGGGUAGAGGUAGGCGGAAUGUGUUGUGUAGCGGUGAAAUGCUUAGAUAUAACACAGAACACCGAUUGCGAAGGCAGCUUACUAUGCCUUUAUUGACACUGAUGCACGAAAGCGUGGGGAUCAAACAGGAUUAGAUACCCCGGUAGUC
This 459-nucleotide ribosomal RNA is filed under the name uncultured Marinilabiliaceae bacterium. Its description in RNAcentral is "bacterial SSU rRNA". It matches the Rfam family "Bacterial small subunit ribosomal RNA", at positions 338 to 795 of the family's 1533-position model. The record is from RNAcentral. Lineage: Bacteria; Pseudomonadati; Bacteroidota; Bacteroidia; Marinilabiliales; Marinilabiliaceae.